Molecule: unclassified non-coding RNA, 463 nt
Filed under: Hevea brasiliensis (rubber tree)
Lineage: Eukaryota; Viridiplantae; Streptophyta; Magnoliopsida; Malpighiales; Euphorbiaceae
Source: RNAcentral
UAGGGUACUGCUUACCCUAAGCAAUAUCUUUAGCAAUUUUCGGCCUCUCUAUAUACUCUAUGCUUAAGGUUAAGCAAACCCUCAAUAAAUCUGGGCAGGUUUGAAAUAAAAUGAGUUUUUCUGCUCAUGCUUAACUUUCAGAUUGACCUGUGUUGCACCUUAAGCACUAGUGCUUACCCUAAGCAGGAUCUCAAGCUAUUCUCAGUAGGUUUUGGGAUGAAAGCUUGAAUGUGUAGGAUUUAAGCUGUGCUUGACUUGCGGCUUAAGGUUAAGCAAUAUGACAUAUCCUGAGCAGCAUCAUAAGCAAAGUCUCAAGUAAAUUUCGGCUAACUUGAACUUUCAAGGCUUGAUUUCUUCAAUUUUCUUCCAUGCUUAGGGAACUAUAAAUUUCUUCAAACAACUUCCUAAUGCACUCAUUGACCCUUAAUUUGCCACAAAAACCUAACUCCACUAGGAUGCGCUU